RNAcentral lists this ribosomal RNA (208 nucleotides) under uncultured bacterium. RNAcentral describes it as "partial 16S ribosomal RNA". It matches the Rfam family "Bacterial small subunit ribosomal RNA", at positions 568 to 775 of the family's 1533-position model. The record is from RNAcentral.
CGCGUAGGCGGCUCCGAAGGUGGCGUGUGAAAUCCCCCGGCUCAACCGGGGAAGUGCGCGCCAAACCACGGUUCUUGAGGGCGGUAGGGGGGACUGGAACUCUCGGUGGAGCGGUGAAAUGCGUAGAUAUCGAGAGGAACACCGGCGGCGAAGGCGAGUCCCUGGUCCGCAUCUGACGCUGAGGCGCGAAAGCGUGGGUAGCAAAACA